Molecule: long non-coding RNA, 1473 nt
Organism: Patella vulgata (common limpet)
Lineage: Eukaryota; Metazoa; Mollusca; Gastropoda; Patellidae
Exons: 3
Source: RefSeq, a predicted model, not a curated record
AAAACAGCGUGAACUAGGAGAAGGAGGAGAGAGAAUAAUGUAGAAAGUUUAAAAUAGACUAACUGGGGAGGAUGUUAGUGGAGGAAUCGACUCGUCAAGAGAUCUAUAAUUAUCUACAGACUGUUAGUUUUAGUCUAGUUAGAGUCUGGAGUGUGAGGAGUUAUAACACUGAAGCUUGGCAUCCAUCCGAUACCCUCAUUGUAUAGUCUAGGUGUGUGUUGUAGUGUAGUCUACUAGUAAAGAUGUCUGGAAAACCGGAACUACCCUACGGAUACUUGGGUGCCCAGCCUAAAUUUAGUGAGUUUGGGCUAUCGACGUUGAGUCACAACAACCCUGAGGUGGAUGUUCCCGAUAAUCAGAUAGAGCUGAAGUUUAGGACAACUCGUCCAGUUAAACUAACUGGUAAUCUUAUUCAGUGUUCUAAUGAAACUGAACAUAAAGAAUAUGUCUUCUGUCAUACUCAGGGGGAUAUCAGUGCAUUAAUAGCGACGAUGCCUGAUACAGGUUAUUACAAGCUACAGAUCUACGCUCUGCCUUGUGACGAUGAUAGUAAAACAUUACCAGGCGUCUUCAAUUAUCUCAUUAAUAAUACAGGUUCACCUAAAGCACCAACACCUUUCCCGAAACAAUACGCUCCAUGGAAAGAUGGAUGCUACCUUUACGAUCCAAUUGUUCUUAAUCAAUCAAUGGAUUUAUCCAACGUACCUGUAAAACUUAGCGUACCUAAUGCCGCUGCCGUGGCUGCAACCGUUGACGGCGAUUGGACCCACCUACAAAAAGAUGGUCAAGGAUUAUGGGUUGGGCAGUUGAAUCUAGACAAAUACCGCGCUAAAGGAGCCAAAGUCUGCCUCAAUGCCAACUUCGGUGGAGAUAAAACAAAAUUCGCUACAUUACUUGAAUAUACCAUAUAAAAACAUUUCGUUACUGAUUUACUAAAAGGACAUAGGUGCUCAACACACGCCAAACGGCAUUACACAAGUAGCUCAAUACUAGAGAGAGAAUAACAAGAUAGGGCACAGAAUGGAAUUUCUGAAGAUUGUAACGUCUAAGAUUUGACAAAUAUGCAGGACACUAAAGAUUUUACUUUUUGAUGGUACAUUAAUGAAUAGUUGUUGAUUCUUAUAACGAAUUCUAGUUAGUUUAAUCUGUAUUUCCUCCAAGAUAAGAUUAGUAUAUGCAAUUUAUCGUUUUUGACAAGGAUAAAGUAACUUGCAAAAUUGCCUAUAUAAAAUGAUUUGGACAUUAUUGUUUCUGACGAUCCAUUCAACCUACCGACGUAAGCAUGUAAAAUAGAGAAUGUCAAUUCGUAGUGUAAAUAUUCACAGCUUUUAUUAACAACGUCUUCUGCUCACACUAUUAUGUUUUGUUAAUACUAUCUUAAUAAGUGUUUUUGUUUAUUUUAUAUGUAUACAAUUUCGUCUCUGUAUUUGGCGUCUAUGAUGCUGGCAUUUAAUAAAUUUACUUUGAUUUUAA